RNAcentral lists this ribosomal RNA (572 nucleotides) under uncultured bacterium. Its description in RNAcentral is "bacterial SSU rRNA". It matches the Rfam family "Bacterial small subunit ribosomal RNA", at positions 102 to 674 of the family's 1533-position model. The record is from RNAcentral.
ACGGGUGAGGAACACGUAGGAAUCUACCCUCAAGCGGGGGACAACCAAGGGAAACUUUGGCUAAUACCGCAUAAUCUCGAGAGAGAAAAGUUACCCGCAAGGGCGACACUUGAGGAGGAGCCUGCGUCCGAUUAGCUAGUUGGAGAGGUAAAGGCUCACCAAGGCGAUGAUCGGUAACUGGUCUGAGAGGACGACCAGUCACACUGGGACUGAGACACGGCCCAGACUCCUACGGGAGGCAGCAGUGGGGAAUAUUGGACAAUGGGGGCAACCCUGAUCCAGCGAUGCCGCGUGAGUGAAGAAGGCCUUCGGGUCGUAAAGCUCUUUAGGUUGGGAAGAAGGAUAUUAGUUUCAUAGACUAGUAUUUUGACGGUACCGACAGAAUAAGCACCGGCAAACUCUGUGCCAGCAGCCGCGGUAAUACAGAGGGUGCGAGCGUUAAUCGGAGUUACUGGGCGUAAAGGGCGCGUAGGCGGUGAUAUGAGUGUGGUGUGAAAGCCCCGGGCUUAACCUGGGAAGCGCAUCGCAAACGAUAUGACUAGAGUAGAUGAGAGGGUGGCGGAAUUUCCGGU